UUUUCUUUAGAAAAAAUUAAAGAUAAAGCCUGCUCAAUGUGAUAAUAAAUAGCCGCGGUAUCUUAACUGCGCGAAGGUAGCAUAAUUAAUUGUCUUUUAAAUGGUGACUUGUUUGAACGGCUUACUGAGGGUUUUUCUUUCUUAAAAAUUUAAGAAUUUAUUUUCUAGGGUUAAAAAACCUAGGUCAAAAAGAAAGAAGAGAAGACCCUGAUGAGUUUUACAGUAACUAAUUCUGUUUGAAUGGGGCAUUCCGAUUUUUAUUAAAUUCGUUUGUGAUCCUACUUUGAGGAUAAAGGUUAAAAUUACCACAGGGAUAACAGGACAAGCUUUGCUGAGAGUACUUAUUAAAGCAAAGGAUUGUUACCUCGAUGUUGAAUCAAAAUUUACUAAUUGGUGCAGAAGUUAAUAUAGUAGGUCUGUUCGACCUUUAAAUUUUUACG
RNAcentral lists this ribosomal RNA (440 nucleotides) under Prosthiostomum siphunculus. Its description in RNAcentral is "partial large subunit ribosomal RNA". It matches the Rfam family "Bacterial large subunit ribosomal RNA", at positions 1828 to 2600 of the family's 2925-position model. The record is from RNAcentral. Lineage: Eukaryota; Metazoa; Platyhelminthes; Polycladida; Prosthiostomidae.